RNAcentral lists this transfer RNA (75 nucleotides) under Exutisphaerella laricina CBS 326.52. RNAcentral describes it as "tRNA-Ala (CGC) (tRNA-Ala-CGC-1-1)". It matches the Rfam family "tRNA". From Rfam's summary of the family: Transfer RNA (tRNA) molecules are approximately 80 nucleotides in length. Their secondary structure includes four short double-helical elements and three loops (D, anti-codon, and T loops). Lineage: Eukaryota; Fungi; Ascomycota; Dothideomycetes; Mycosphaerellales; Mycosphaerellaceae. The record is from RNAcentral.
GGGAGUGUGGUUUAGGGGUAUAACGUCUGCUUCGCAAACACGUUCCAGUCUUGGGUUCGAUUCCCAACACUUCCA